Molecule: ribosomal RNA, 447 nt
Filed under: uncultured crenarchaeote
Lineage: Archaea; Thermoproteati; Thermoproteota
Description: partial 16S ribosomal RNA
Rfam family: Archaeal small subunit ribosomal RNA
Source: RNAcentral
GUGCAGCAGUCGCGAAAACUUGUCAAUGCACGAAAGUGUGAACGGGCUACCCCGAGUGCCGUCCGCUGAGGAUGGCUUUUCUCUGCUGUAAGAAGGCAGAGGAAUAAGGAGAGGGCAAGUCUGGUGUCAGUCGCCGCGGUAAUACCAGCUCUCCGAGUGGUAGGGAUGAUUAUUGGGCUUAAAGCGUCCGUAGCUGGCCUUUCAAGUCUCUUGUUAAAUCCAGCGAUUCAAUCGUUGGACUGCGGGAGAUACUGUUAGGCUAGGGGGCGGGAGAAGCCGACGGUAUUUCCGGGGUAGGGGUAAAAUCCUAUAAUCCCGGGAAGACCACCAGUGGCGUAGGCGGUCGGCUAGCACGCGCUCGACGGUGAGGGACGAAAGCUGGGGGAGCGAACGGGAUUAGAUAUGAAGUUGAGUUUUCACCAGCUUCACUAGAAACCCCGGUAGUCC